AGAGUUUGAUCCUGGCUCAGAUUGAACGCUGGCGGCAUGCCUAACACAUGCAAGUCGAACGGCAGCACAGCAGAGCUUGCUCUGUGGGUGGCGAGUGGCGGACGGGUGAGUAAUGCAUCGGGACCUACCCAGACGUGGGGGAUAACGUAGGGAAACUUACGCUAAUACCGCAUACGUCCUACGGGAGAAAGCGGGGGACCUUCGGGCCUCGCGCGGUUGGACGGACCGAUGUGCGAUUAGCUAGUUGGCGGGGUAAUGGCCCACCAAGGCGACGAUCGCUAGCUGGUCUGAGAGGAUGAUCAGCCACACUGGAACUGAGACACGGUCCAGACUCCUACGGGAGGCAGCAGUGGGGAAUAUUGGACAAUGGGCGCAAGCCUGAUCCAGCAAUGCCGCGUGUGUGAAGAAGGCCUUCGGG
RNAcentral lists this ribosomal RNA (418 nucleotides) under uncultured bacterium. Its description in RNAcentral is "bacterial SSU rRNA". It matches the Rfam family "Bacterial small subunit ribosomal RNA", at positions 8 to 422 of the family's 1533-position model. The record is from RNAcentral.